GACGAACGCUGGCGGCGUGCUUAACACAUGCAAGUCGAACGGAAAGGCCCUGCUUGCGGGGUACUCGAGUGGCGAACGGGCGAGUAACACGUGGGUGAUCUGCCCUGCACUUCGGGAUAAGCCUGGGAAACUGGGUCUAAUACCUGAUAUGUCCUUCCAUGUAGUGUGGGGGGUGGAAAGAUUUAUCGGUGUGGGAUGAGCCCGCGGCCUAUUAGCUUGUUGGUGGGGUAAUGGCCUACCAAGGCGUCGACGGGUAGCCGGCCUGAGAGGGUGGACGGCCACAUUGGGACUGAGAUACGGCCCAGACUCCUACGGGAGGCAGCAGUGGGGAAUAUUGCACAAUGGGCGGAAGCCUGAUGCAGCGACGCCGCGUGGGGGAUGACGGCCUUCGGGUUGUAAACCUCUGUCGACAGGGACGAAGCUUCGGUGACGGUACCUGUAUAAGAAGCACCGGCUAACUACGUG
RNAcentral lists this ribosomal RNA (465 nucleotides) under uncultured bacterium. RNAcentral's name for it is "partial 16S ribosomal RNA". It matches the Rfam family "Bacterial small subunit ribosomal RNA", at positions 28 to 507 of the family's 1533-position model. The record is from RNAcentral.